Molecule: ribosomal RNA, 789 nt
Filed under: uncultured bacterium
Lineage: Bacteria
Description: bacterial SSU rRNA
Rfam family: Bacterial small subunit ribosomal RNA
Source: RNAcentral
GAGUUUGAUCCUGGCUCAGGAUGAACGCUAGCGGCAGGCCUAACACAUGCAAGUUGAGGGGCAGCAUAGGGUAGCAAUACCCUGAUGGCGACCGGCAGACGGGUGAGUAACGCGUAUGCAACCUACCCUGUACAGGGGGAUAACCCGGAGAAAUUCGGACUAAUAUCCCAUAGUAAUAUCCGGAGGCAUCUUUGGAUAUUUAAAGUUCCGGCGGUACGGGAUGGGCAUGCGUAACAUUAGCUAGUUGGUAGGGUAACGGCCUACCAAGGCUAUGAUGUUUAGGGGUCCUGAGAGGGUGAUCCCCCACACUGGUACUGAGACACGGACCAGACUCCUACGGGAGGCAGCAGUGAGGAAUAUUGGUCAAUGGGCGCAAGCCUGAACCAGCCAUCCCGCGUGCAGGAAGACGGCCCUAUGGGUUGUAAACUGCUUUUCCAGGGAGAGAAACCUGCGCACGUGUUGCGCAAUUGACGGUACCCUGGGAAUAAGCAUCGGCUAACUCCGUGCCAGCAGCCGCGGUAAUACGGAGGAUGCAAGCGUUAUCCGGAUUCAUUGGGUUUAAAGGGUGCGUAGGCGGACUAUUAAGUCAGUGGUGAAAGCCUGCAGCUUAACUGCAGAACUGCCAUUGAUACUGAUAGUCUUGAGUUUGGUUAAGGUAGGCGGAAUGUGUAAUGUAGCGGUGAAUGCUUAGAUAUUACACAGAACACCAAUUGCGUAGGCAGCUUACUGAGCCGACACUGACGCUGAAGCACGAAAGCGUGGGGAUCGAACAGGAUUAGAUACCUGGUA